ACUCCAUUUCUGUGUCUGCUUCCAGAGAACCCAACCUGUGCCAGUUGGUCCUGGGAGAAGCCUGAGAAAGGAGGCCCAUUGGAAUCCUGGAGGAGCAGUUUCUUGAACAAAACUGAAGGAGUGGAAGGGAACAGAGCCAUGUGUGGUUUAUCCGUGUUGUAUCUGUAGAUCAGAAUUUCCUUCCUUUUAAAUAAAGGCCGAAUAACUUUCCAUGGAACAUAUAUACCACAUUGUGUUGAUCUACUCAUUCACCGAUGGACAUUUGGGUGGCUUCCACCUUUUGGCUUUUGUGAAUGAUGCUGCGAUGAACAUGGGUGUCCAGAGGUCUGCUCCAGUCCCUGCUUUUACUUCUUUUGGAUGUAUAUCCAGAAGCGGAAUUACUGGAU
Molecule: long non-coding RNA, 386 nt
Organism: Canis lupus familiaris (dog)
Lineage: Eukaryota; Metazoa; Chordata; Mammalia; Carnivora; Canidae
Exons: 3
Source: RefSeq, a predicted model, not a curated record